Long non-coding RNA from Myxocyprinus asiaticus (Chinese sucker), 298 nucleotides. RefSeq lists it as uncharacterized. Lineage: Eukaryota; Metazoa; Chordata; Actinopteri; Cypriniformes; Catostomidae. The record is from RefSeq and is a predicted model, not a curated record. The transcript has 4 exons.
AGAUAUCAGAUAUCAUCCUCUCCAGAACACUGUAACAUCACUCUGACUACAACACUCCUGAAUGAAGACAACAACAGAGAGUGGAGAUGUCAGAUUACUGAAGGAACUGACGUGAAGACCUCAGUCAGCUAUACUGUCAAGUAUUUGGCAGACAGUAAAAUGUCAUUUGGAUCAUUAUUGAGAGUGAUUAUAAUUAUCGUUGAGAUUGCAGCAGUAACUACUCCUACUGUUAUUCUGCUUCAGAUCAUCUGUGAAAGGAGAGCUGAAAACAAAAGAAGAGCUGAAACACCUAGAAGAC